GAUUUUUCUUUACGACUAGGGUUUCUUCUUCGGCUACCUUACAUAGAAAACGACGGUGAACGUAAUAGUUGGAAAAUUGCGUGAAACAGGAAACAAAAAGGGGCUCAUCGGAGGGGGCUCUGUCGGAUAUCCCCAAUUUUUUACUCACCUGCUAUCUCUUUUGCUCUAAUAUGGCUACAGGGAGGCUCGGAAUCGAAUUUUGAGUGAGUAGAAAAAACAUUUACAUUUUUUUGGCAGUCGAUGGUAGUUUCGGUGUAGCAGCAGCAGUUGGCGGUCGACCUUCUUUUCUAGCAUCUGAUUCUUUUUCUCCGGCAAGUACCGACGGCUAGGGUUUGGGUUCUCCUACGAAGAGGAGUUUAAAUACUCCUCU
RNAcentral lists this long non-coding RNA (370 nucleotides) under Carica papaya (papaya). RNAcentral's name for it is "long non-coding RNA (CPAP_LNC008737)". The record is from RNAcentral. Lineage: Eukaryota; Viridiplantae; Streptophyta; Magnoliopsida; Brassicales; Caricaceae.